Molecule: long non-coding RNA, 338 nt
Filed under: Androctonus crassicauda
Lineage: Eukaryota; Metazoa; Arthropoda; Arachnida; Scorpiones; Buthidae
Source: RNAcentral
UACUUAAAUCUACUUAAAUUAAAUUAAUCCUAUACAUUACUGUGAUUCAAGAGAGAGAGCAGGCAUUCCAUGAGCUUCACAUACCUUAGAGAGAGUUUACCGGUGUUACAUCAAGUAACUAUUCUAAUAAAAGUUCAAAUGUUCAUAAGUCUUUUUGAAACAGCUCACUAUUGCACAGAUUUUUAUGUUUGUCUCUUCAUCAUCUGUCAUCUCUGUUUCUGUUGGCUACCCCAACGGGACGAGUUGUUUUCCCAUCAAUGUUCUACAUACUUAUUGCCUUUGUUCACUUUUCUAACAAUAUUAACUCCUAUCUCUCUGUCUUCUCUGACUCCCUUCUG